RNAcentral lists this unclassified non-coding RNA (222 nucleotides) under Glomeraceae sp. Its description in RNAcentral is "partial contains 5.8S ribosomal RNA and internal transcribed spacer 2". The stretch from base 1 to 72 matches the Rfam family "5.8S ribosomal RNA", at positions 84 to 154 of the family's 154-position model. Lineage: Eukaryota; Fungi; Glomeromycota; Glomeromycetes; Glomerales; Glomeraceae. The record is from RNAcentral.
GUGAAUCAUCGAAUCUUUGAACGCAAAUUGCACUCUCCGGUUUUCCGGGAGAGUAUGCCUGUUUGAGGGUCAGCCUAAAAAAAAAUCGACAUUGUUGCUGUUAUUUAAUGGUGACUUUCGUCGGAGAUUGGGUUAUCUUAAACCUUUUUUUUUUUUGGUUAAACGGCUUUAAAUUUUUCUUUCCCGAUUCAUUGAAGUUUUUAAGGUUUUUAUUUUUUUAUA